RNAcentral lists this ribosomal RNA (267 nucleotides) under Acinetobacter baumannii. RNAcentral describes it as "partial 16S ribosomal RNA". It matches the Rfam family "Bacterial small subunit ribosomal RNA", at positions 1 to 271 of the family's 1533-position model. The record is from RNAcentral. Lineage: Bacteria; Pseudomonadati; Pseudomonadota; Gammaproteobacteria; Moraxellales; Moraxellaceae.
AACUGAAGAGUUUGAUCAUGGCUCAGAUUGAACGCUGGCGGCAGGCUUAACACAUGCAAGUCGAGCGGGGGAAGGUAGCUUGCUACUGGACCUAGCGGCGGACGGGUGAGUAAUGCUUAGGAAUCUGCCUAUUAGUGGGGGACAACAUCUCGAAAGGGAUGCUAAUACCGCAUACGUCCUACGGGAGAAAGCAGGGGAUCUUCGGACCUUGCGCUAAUAGAUGAGCCUAAGUCGGAUUAGCUAGUUGGUGGGGUAAAGGCCUACCAA